This 324-nucleotide long non-coding RNA is filed under the name Ananas comosus (pineapple). RNAcentral's name for it is "long non-coding RNA (ACOM_LNC003704)". Lineage: Eukaryota; Viridiplantae; Streptophyta; Magnoliopsida; Poales; Bromeliaceae. The record is from RNAcentral.
UGGUUUUCAUAGGUUAGAUGUUGGAGGAGAGCUUGAGGAUGGAUUCACUAAUUUAAAUUUUAGGUUAGAAGUUUGUAAUUGCUGUAAUUUCAGUUUGUGAGCUGAAAUUGGAGUAUUCUUGGGUUUUUGUUGAUUUUUUAAUCUGAUUCCUUCUAACAGUGAUUUUAUUGAAUCCUAGCUAGUUUUUCCUUCCUUUCAUAUGGAUUGGAGUUGAUUCAAGCUAGAUUGGAGGUUAGUGGUGAUCAAUUUCAAGUUUAAUUUAGUUUUCGAAAUCGAAAUGCAUUUUCGUUAGAUUUUUUAUUGAAAAUUUAUUUACAGCUAGAU